CUUAUAAUCUUCUUUCUUUUGCCUUUGAAUUAUAAACACAAAUAACAAUUCACACGAAAUUAAGGAAUAAGUCUUGAAGGAUCUUGAAGGGACUUAUUAUAGAAGGUUGUGAGAACAAGAUUAAGAUUCAUCAUGCUAAGGGGUAAUUGGAUGCACCGUGAAUUCAUAAACUUGGUUACAAGAUAUAUGUGAUUAUAUUCUUGAAGUGUCAAUAAUCCUAAUCUUAAGACAAAGACUCUUGCCUCAAAGUGUUAUACAAAGGAUCACCAAAUUUGCUACUCAAAACAAGAAGUGUUCUACUAGAUGGCUAUAUCAAGAUCCAGCAAGAUGGAGAUUCUUAUGAAGAAAUAGUAGAUGAACUUAUGGAUGUUAGUUAUGAAGAAGAUUGAAUUAUUAUGAAAUUGUUAAUCAGUUAUCAACCAUUAAUCUCAAUGUCAAGAAAAAGGGAGAGACUCUUGUCACAAGGUAUUAUACAAAGGACCAAAUAAUUUACUACUCAAAACGCAAGUGUUCCACUAGAAGGCUAUACUAAGAUCCAGCAAGAACGUAGAUGGAGAUUCUUAUGAAACAAUAGUAGAAGAAAGAUGUAACCUCUACAUCUUUAGAGAAAAUUAUUGAGAAAUGAUUUGCAUCAUUAAAGUGACUUAGGCUAUAAGUAAGUCUUCUUACCUUAGAGUUCCAUAUGAGUUUUACUUAGACAAAUAGUGUGACUAGUU
This 716-nucleotide long non-coding RNA is filed under the name Medicago truncatula (barrel medic). RNAcentral describes it as "lncRNA gene37061". Lineage: Eukaryota; Viridiplantae; Streptophyta; Magnoliopsida; Fabales; Fabaceae. The record is from RNAcentral.